CAGUAGCCGCGGGAAAACGGAGGGAGCUAGCGUUGUUCGGAAUUACUGGGCGUAAAGCGCGCGUAGGCGGUUACUCAAGUCAGAGGUGAAAGCCCGGGGCUCAACCCCGGAACUGCCUUUGAAACUAGGUGACUAGAAUCUUGGAGAGGUCAGUGGAAUUCCGAGUGUAGAGGUGAAAUUCGUAGAUAUUCGGAAGAACACCAGUGGCGAAGGCGACUGACUGGACAAGUAUUGACGCUGAGGUGCGAAAGCGUGGGGAGCAAACAGGAUUAGAUACCCCGGUAGUCCCUGUCUCUUAUAC
This 301-nucleotide ribosomal RNA is filed under the name uncultured bacterium. Its description in RNAcentral is "partial 16S ribosomal RNA". It matches the Rfam family "Bacterial small subunit ribosomal RNA", at positions 509 to 807 of the family's 1533-position model. The record is from RNAcentral.